Long non-coding RNA from Passer domesticus (house sparrow), 624 nucleotides. RefSeq lists it as uncharacterized. The transcript is spliced from 3 exons. Lineage: Eukaryota; Metazoa; Chordata; Aves; Passeriformes; Passeridae. The record is from RefSeq and is a predicted model, not a curated record.
CAGGGAAAGAGGAAGGAGGCUAAAUGAUGAGCAACCUGUAAUUGGCUAUGGAAGGAGAAAGGAAAACACAGUCAACUGGUAAAGGGCUGGAUUGGUCUAUCCUGGUUGCACACCUCACAUGCUGGAUGGUCCCACUCUUGCUCUGGCAUCUCUGGUUGGAGGCACCUCAGCAGCAGUGACUUCGUCCCUUUGCUUCUUGAGGAGGAAAAAAGGAAAACAGCUUUUGAAGGCUCCUUGUUGGGCUCACAGCUGGAUUUGGGAACCAGACAAGAAGUUACCUGGGGCUGACACAGAAGUCUUUGACAUAGCCUCACUUAAUAGGACAGCUCACAUCCCAGACAGCAACAUAAGGAAGGAACAGCAGUAUUCCCACGGUGCUGUACUUCUGACCACUCUUGAGAUGAGUGCCCUCAGCCUGACACAGAGUAGGAAUAAACCAGGAGCCCUGUGGUCCACUCUGGAGCCGGGAACCAUGGGCUCUCCUUACCACGGCCCAUGCCUUCACUGGGAAAUGUUCUUGAGGAAAAUAAAGACUGGGACCAAAAAUAAAGAAGCAUGAAUGUAGCAAUGAUUAUAUGGAGUAUUAAUGAGUAAUUCCAUGUUUGUAUUCCCAGGGAUUAAUCC